This 457-nucleotide unclassified non-coding RNA is filed under the name Hevea brasiliensis (rubber tree). The record is from RNAcentral. Lineage: Eukaryota; Viridiplantae; Streptophyta; Magnoliopsida; Malpighiales; Euphorbiaceae.
AAAGAAAAUAGAGUAAAUUAAUCAUUGAAUCAUUUGUAACAUGCACGCUGAAUUAUUAUCCUUAGUCUGCUCUAUGAUUGUGAUUGUAGAUCAUUACACCUCUUGCGAAUCUACGAAGAGUUUGAUGCACAAAUAGUGAAAGGAAUAAAGAAAAUGCACUUCAAAUUGUUGUAACUGUGCACGAAUGAGGCUCCUCUGCCAAGACUAGUCUAUUGAGCCAUUUUCUGCAGGAAUUGAUGAUGGUAAACAAAUGGAUUGAUCUGCGUUCUGAUAUUUUCGCGUCUAAACAACUCCUGGAUCCAGCUAUCUUGCAAGAAAAGAACUCAGGUAGCUUGUAUUCUACCGGCAAACUAGACCCCUUUCUGGAUGAUUGUCAUCUUAGAAUCACUGCAUUAGGCUACAAUCCUACUAAAUGAACUUGGUCUCUUCACAAGAGGGUUUUUUUUUUUUUUUUUUU